This is a long non-coding RNA of Diceros bicornis minor, 155 nucleotides long. RefSeq lists it as uncharacterized. The transcript has 3 exons. Lineage: Eukaryota; Metazoa; Chordata; Mammalia; Perissodactyla; Rhinocerotidae. The record is from RefSeq and is a predicted model, not a curated record.
AAAGAGACAUGGAGAUGGGUGUCCAGGAAGAACUGUACAAAACUUAAAAAGUUGAUGAAAACAAGCCAGCGGGAGAGCAAGAAGCUGCUCAAGGAGGGUGUCGUCCGCUUCCUGGGCACGUUCCUCUAUCACCUGAAGCUGCUGGACUUUGGGAU